GUGGGUAGUUGUAUGUACCCUGCGAAUAAGCAUCGGCUAACUCCGUGCCAGCAGCCGCGGUAAUACGGAGGAUGCGAGCGUUAUCCGGAUUUAUUGGGUUUAAAGGGUGCGUAGGUGGGCUAUUAAGUCAGUGGUGAAAGUUUGUCGCUCAACGAUAAAAUUGCCGUUGAAACUGGUGGUCUUGAGUAUGGAUGAAGUAGGCGGAAUGCGUGGUGUAGCGGUGAAAUGCAUAGAGAUCACGCAGAACUCCGAUUGCGAAGGCAGCUUACUAAGGCAUAACUGACACUGAAGCACGAAAGCGUGGGUAUCAAACAGGAUUAGAUACCCUGGUAGUCCACGCAGUAAACGAUGAUUACUAGGAGUUUGCGAUAUAGUGUAAGCUCUACAGCGAAAGCGUUAAGUAAUCCACCUGGGGAGUACGCCGGCAACGGUGAAACUCAAAGGAAUUGACGGGGGCCCGCACAAG
RNAcentral lists this ribosomal RNA (466 nucleotides) under uncultured bacterium. Its description in RNAcentral is "bacterial SSU rRNA". It matches the Rfam family "Bacterial small subunit ribosomal RNA", at positions 461 to 929 of the family's 1533-position model. The record is from RNAcentral.